RNAcentral lists this transfer RNA (71 nucleotides) under Antennarius striatus (striated frogfish). RNAcentral describes it as "tRNA-Ser". It matches the Rfam family "tRNA". From Rfam's summary of the family: Transfer RNA (tRNA) molecules are approximately 80 nucleotides in length. The record is from RNAcentral. Lineage: Eukaryota; Metazoa; Chordata; Actinopteri; Lophiiformes; Antennariidae.
AAGAAAGUGGCAGAAUGGUUAUGCGGCUGGCUUGAAACCAGUUGAUGGGGGUUCGAUUCCUCUCUUUCUCG